GCCAGGCAUGGUGGUGCAUGCCUGUAGUCCCAGCUACUUGGGGGGCUGAGGUGAGAGGAUCACUUGAGCCCAGGAAGUCAAGGCUGCAGUGAGCCAAGAUGGCACCACUGCACUCCAGCCUGAGCAACCAAGUGAGACCCUGUCUCAA
Molecule: unclassified non-coding RNA, 148 nt
Organism: Pongo abelii (Sumatran orangutan)
Lineage: Eukaryota; Metazoa; Chordata; Mammalia; Primates; Hominidae
Rfam family: Metazoan signal recognition particle RNA
About the family: The signal recognition particle (SRP) is a universally conserved ribonucleoprotein. It is involved in the co-translational targeting of proteins to membranes.
Source: Ensembl